Molecule: ribosomal RNA, 479 nt
Filed under: uncultured bacterium
Lineage: Bacteria
Description: partial 16S ribosomal RNA
Rfam family: Bacterial small subunit ribosomal RNA
Source: RNAcentral
GAUGAACGCUGGCGGCGUGCUUAACACAUGCAAGUCGAGCGAGAAGUUUUGAAAAGAUUCUUCGGAUGAAAUUUAAAAUGGAAAGCGGCGGACGGGUGAGUAACGCGUAGGCAACCUGCCCCAUACAAAGGGAUAGCAUUUGGAAACGAAUAUUAAUACCUUAUGAAACUUAACUAGUGCAUGCUAGGUAGGUCAAAGAUUUAUCGGUAUGGGAUGGGCCUGCGUCUGAUUAGCUAGUUGGUGAGGUAACGGCUCACCAAGGCGACGAUCAGUAGCCGACCUGCGAGGGUGAACGGCCACAUUGGACCUGAGACACGGUCCAAACUCCUACGGGAGGCAGCAGUGGGGAAUAUUGCACAAUGGGGGAAACCCUGAUGCAGCAACGCCGCGUGAACGAUGAAGGCCUUUGGGUCGUAAAGUUCUGUUCUAGGUGAUGAAACCUGACAGUAACCUAGGAGAAAGCCCCGGCUAACUCCGUG